AUUGAACGCUGGCGGCAGGCCUAACACAUGCAAGUCGAGCGAGCGGUGGACGGGUGAGUAAUGUCUGGGAAACUGCCUGAUGGAGGGGGAUAACUACUGGAAACGGUAGCUAAUACCGCAUACCAUCAGAUGUGCCCAGAUGUGAUUAGCUGGUAGGUGGGGUAACGGCUCACCUAGGCGACGAUCCCUAGCUGGUCUGAGAGGAUGACCAGCCACAGUGGAACUGAGACACGGUCGAGACUCCUAGGGGAGGCAGCGGUGGGGAAUAUUGCACAAUGGGGGCAACCCUGAUGCAGCCAUGCCGCGUGUGUGAAGAAGGCCUUGGGGUUGUAAAGCACUUUCAGCGGGGAGGCGUUAACCGCAGAAGAAGCACCGGCUAACUCCGUGCCAGCAGCCGCGGUAAUC
Molecule: ribosomal RNA, 405 nt
Filed under: uncultured bacterium
Lineage: Bacteria
Description: partial 16S ribosomal RNA
Rfam family: Bacterial small subunit ribosomal RNA
Source: RNAcentral